Molecule: transfer RNA, 68 nt
Filed under: Rothia dentocariosa
Lineage: Bacteria; Bacillati; Actinomycetota; Actinomycetes; Micrococcales; Micrococcaceae
Also listed under: 3 other names
Rfam family: tRNA
About the family: Transfer RNA (tRNA) molecules are approximately 80 nucleotides in length. Their secondary structure includes four short double-helical elements and three loops (D, anti-codon, and T loops).
Source: RNAcentral
GUGAGGUGGUCGAGUGGUUAGGCAGCGGCCUGCAAAGCCGUGUACGCGGGUUCGAAUCCCGUCCUCAC